CGCGAACGCUGGCGGCAGGCCUAACACAUGCAAGUCGAACGAACCUUUCGGGGUUAGUGGCGGACGGGUGAGUAACACGUGGGAACGUGCCUUUAGGUUCGGAAUAACUCAGGGAAACUUGUGCUAAUACCGAAUGUGCCCUUCGGGGGAAAGAUUUAUCGCCUUUAGAGCGGCCCGCGUCUGAUUAGCUAGUUGGUUGAGGUAAUGGCUCACCAAGGCGACGAUCAGUAGCUGGUCUGAGAGGAUGAUCAGCCACAUUGGGACUGAGACACGGCCCAAACUCCUACGGGAGGCAGCAGUGGGGAAUCUUGCGCAAUGGGCGAAAGCCUGACGCAGCCAUGCCGCGUGAAUGAUGAAGGUCUUAGGAUUGUAAAAUUCUUUCACCGGGGACGAUAAUGACGGUACCCGGAGAAGAAGCCCCGGCUAACUUCGUG
Molecule: ribosomal RNA, 434 nt
Filed under: uncultured bacterium
Lineage: Bacteria
Description: partial 16S ribosomal RNA
Rfam family: Bacterial small subunit ribosomal RNA
Source: RNAcentral